UGUUUCCCAAGCCAUCAACAAUUUUCUAAAUGAGUAUCAUCAGCUCAGUCUUUAUGUGUAAAGAUAACAUAGCAUUAAGCAAUGCUUUGAAUAUUGAGUCAAUAUUAAGGAUUCAUCCUUGUCUAAAAGAAAUCAAUUCCCAAUAAUCUUGACCUCUCUUACAAUAUUUUCUACAAAGAGUUUUUUUAAAAGAUUUUUCUAACUCAACAGUUUUUUCCCCUGCCUAAAUGGUGUUCAUUAGAUUCUGUUCUUAAUUUUAGCUUUUUUUUUUUUUUUUUUUGGUGCAGGGGAUUGAACCCAGCACCUUAUGCUUGCAAGGCAAGCACUCUUCCAACUGAAUUAUAUCCCUAGCCCUCUCUUCUUAAUUUUAAAAUAAUCCUUUCAUUCUGUACUGGAGGAAAGUCACUCUAUACUAAGGAAUGAAUAAAAAUUAGUUAAUGAUGAUUAAUAGGAACUGAGGUAAGGGUAAUAAUUAUGUAUAAAUAUUCACACACACAUGAAGUCUGAAUACUAUCCUGGAGCUGCAUAGAUGCUAAUAAUUUUUAAGAAUCAAAAUAUUUUACAAUUUUGUUAUUUAUGAGCUUUUAAAAGAAAAGUUAAAAUUAGUUUAACAAAGUAACUAAUUACACAAAACUAUAGCCAUUGAAACAAAAUUAACCUAACAUGUUAAAACUUAAGUAUAUCUAACGGUAAAGAGUCACAUUAUUGGGGGGUGGGGAUAUAGCUUAGUUGGCAGAGUGCUUGUCUCCUAUGCAUAAGGCCCUGGGUUCAAUCCCCAACACCACAAAAAAAAAAAAAAAAUUCACGUUAUUAUUUUCUUAGUCUAAUAAUUUAACCAUUUCUGCUUUGUCAG
This 853-nucleotide long non-coding RNA is filed under the name Marmota monax (woodchuck). The record is from RNAcentral. Lineage: Eukaryota; Metazoa; Chordata; Mammalia; Rodentia; Sciuridae.